AUGCCUGCUGUUGGGCGUGGCGCCAUACCUCGGUCAAGUGGUAGGGGUGUUCGUGGCCGUGUCCCUGGUCGUGGUGCUAAUUCUGGGCGUGCAGCCGCUGCUAUACAUGUGUCUGCCCCUGGUCAUUCUGUUGGUCCUGGGUACGCCGCCGCUCCUAGGCGUGUGUUGGUCCCUGGGAUUACUAGACGUUACGUGCCAUGCCAGCCUGUUGGGGGUCCUCCUCGAAGCCGUACAAGUGAUGGCUGGUUUCCUUUUCUGAGCUCGACCGUGGCUGCGGUAAAUCGCAGAAAACGGAAAAUGUGUGUUGAGUUUCGGCGCGCUAGAUACGAAGAACAUGUCGUUGAUGGGCCUUUGCCGAAGGAUUGGCAUGGUUUCUCGGUUUAUGUCAGUGCGGAGGUGAUCGGGGUAGACCGCAACAGAUGGAAAAAACGGAAAGUGUCCAUUAAAUUGCGGCGUCCUGGAUGCGAAGAGAUUGUUGUUCAAGGAACUUUGCCAAAGGAUUGGCAAGGUUUCUCAGUCAAGUUUGCCGAGUCCCUUAAAGCUUGCUAUGCAGAUAGGUCAUACUACAGCCCUCCGGAUUUCUUGUGCCAAUACUGUGGUGCCUCCUUUUGGUUUGUUGAGUGUUCAAAGUCCAGGUCAUCCUGGACACAUCGUAAGAUGGUUUAUAAUCAUUGUUGUAAAGGCGCUAAGUGUUGUAUACCGUUGAGUUCCAGAAGCGGGGACUGCCUCACGCGCAUAUACUUGUCUAGCGGAGAGGGGGUAACGGUGAGAUUGGUGUUGAAAAUAUUAAUUCAUUAA
This 798-nucleotide ribosomal RNA is filed under the name Triticum aestivum (bread wheat). RNAcentral describes it as "partial small subunit ribosomal RNA". The record is from RNAcentral. Lineage: Eukaryota; Viridiplantae; Streptophyta; Magnoliopsida; Poales; Poaceae.